CUGCUUGAGCAGGCACGGCCACGCGUGCAUUCCUUUUCAGCUGUGCGACAAGGCUUGUAUCGUCUUGAUCGUAUAAGUGGGUUUCCUGUGUUGCAUACCUGAUCAAUGGCAUCGUCUUGAUCAAAAGUGUCUAUUUUUCGUCUGGCAAUGCACCUGCAUUGUCGGAUGAACCACGUAGCAUCCUCUUUGAUCCAUACAGUUGACGUGCUAUCGUUGAUUGUUUGGCCCAUUGAGCGGUGACUCGGUCUCUCGGAUAUGGAAGCCAAAGUGGGCAUGGGAUCGCAAGAUCUCUUUAUUGUCCUCAUUGAGCGUUCUCACUUCUCUUACAUGACCGCCUUUCACGUAUGGCUACGUCCCAGCGUGUUUGGCUACGUCGAAGAGGAAUGUUGGGCGUUCUUGCUUUUCUUACACGACUGCCUUUCACGUAUGGCACGUCCCAGCGUGUUUGG
Molecule: unclassified non-coding RNA, 449 nt
Filed under: Euthamia caroliniana
Lineage: Eukaryota; Viridiplantae; Streptophyta; Magnoliopsida; Asterales; Asteraceae
Description: partial external transcribed spacer
Source: RNAcentral